RNAcentral lists this ribosomal RNA (504 nucleotides) under uncultured bacterium. RNAcentral's name for it is "bacterial SSU rRNA". It matches the Rfam family "Bacterial small subunit ribosomal RNA", at positions 791 to 1294 of the family's 1533-position model. The record is from RNAcentral.
UAGUCCACGCCGUAAACGAUGAGAACUAGACGUUGGUCCUAUUUAAAGGAUUAGUGUCGAAGCUAACGCGAUAAGUUCUCCGCCUGGGGAGUACGGCCGCAAGGUUAAAACUCAAAGGAACUGACGGGGGCCCGCACAAGCGGUGGAGCAUGUGGUUUAAUUCGAUGCAACGCGAAGAACCUUACCAUCCCUUGACAUCCAGAGAAUCUGUUUGAGAAGAUAGAGUGCCUUCGGGAACUCUGAGACAGGUGCUGCAUGGCUGUCGUCAGCUCGUGUCGUGAGAUGUUGGGUUAAGUCCCGCAACGAGCGCAACCCUUAUCUUUAGUUACCAUCAUUAAGUUGGGCACUCUAAAGAGACUGCCGGUGACAAGCCGGAGGAAGGUGGGGACGACGUCAAGUCAUCAUGGCCCUUACGGGAUGGGCUACACACGUGCUACAAUGGUUGAUACAGAGGGUCGCGAAGCAGUGAUGUGGAGCUAAUCUCAGAAAGUCAAAUCGUAGUCC